AACGAACGCUGGCGGCGUGCCUAACACAUGCAAGUCGCGCGAGAACGGGGGGCAACUCCCUAGUAAAGCGGCGCACGGGUGAGUAACACGUAGGUAACCUACCCUCGAGUCCAGGAUAACCUAUCGAAAGGUGGGCUAAUACCGGAUAUGACCACGGGAGCCUCGGCUCCUGCGGUGAAAGGUGGCCUCUGCUUGCAAGCCACUGCUCGGAGAUGGGCCUGCGCGCCAUUAGCUAGUUGGUGGGGUAACGGCCCACCAAGGCGAUGAUGGCUAGCUGGUCUGAGAGGAUGGCCAGCCACACUGGGACUGAAACACGGCCCAGACUCCUACGGGAGGCAGCAGUGGGGGAUAUUGCGCAAUGGGCGAAAGCCUGACGCAGCGACGCCGCGUGGGUGAUGAAGGCCU
Molecule: ribosomal RNA, 405 nt
Filed under: uncultured bacterium
Lineage: Bacteria
Description: bacterial SSU rRNA
Rfam family: Bacterial small subunit ribosomal RNA
Source: RNAcentral